UCUAAUAUGGCAGAUAAGUGUGAUGGAUUUAAGCUCCAUUUAUAAAGAACCCCUUUUGUUAGAA
This 64-nucleotide transfer RNA is filed under the name Schizodactylus jimo. RNAcentral describes it as "tRNA-Leu". Lineage: Eukaryota; Metazoa; Arthropoda; Insecta; Orthoptera; Schizodactylidae. The record is from RNAcentral.